GCCUCGGUGAUGCAGUGGUAGAUGCGUACCCGAUAUGAAUGAAACGCGAGUUCGAUUCUCGUCUGAGGUC
This is a non-coding RNA of Parelaphostrongylus tenuis, 70 nucleotides long. NCBI's taxonomy places the organism in Eukaryota, Metazoa, Nematoda, Chromadorea, Rhabditida, Metastrongylidae. The record is from the annotation of a GenBank genome assembly.